AAGACGGCCAUGCUCUUGUUGGAGAGAUCUUCUUCGAUGUACUCGUACUCCACGCCUUUCAGCGUGAGUGCCCAUAUCACUCUAAUCACAUAAGGGCUUGCCCACAUGCCAUGUAGCCUUACUUCCAUUGAUGGAGUAGAAUGCUAGAUUCCUCUCAAGAUUCAUAUCAGUUCUUGGUCGACAGAAGAUGCUUCCUUAAAUUUAUGAGCUCCGGAAACUGUGCCUCUGUGUCCGGAAGAUUCUCCUUAAUCCCAGGCUCUUCCUUGAAAUCCUGCAUCCACCGGUGCAGCCUCGGAAGAGUUGUGGGCCCCAGCACCUCCACGCCCACGACUCGUUCCACUUGCUUGAACGAGGUCUUCCGCCGCCUUCUCUUUGCCCUCCUCCGAGCAUGCAAGGAAGCUUUGAAAUGCGUAGCCCUGCGUGCACGAUCACGAGAUAGACGAAAUAUUGGUUCCCUCCAAAACAAGAGCAAUGAGGGGGGAAUUCAUCCCAAAA
This is a long non-coding RNA of Salvia splendens (bonfire salvia), 495 nucleotides long. RefSeq lists it as uncharacterized. The transcript has 3 exons. NCBI's taxonomy places the organism in Eukaryota, Viridiplantae, Streptophyta, Magnoliopsida, Lamiales, Lamiaceae. The record is from RefSeq and is a predicted model, not a curated record.